AGAGAGUACCCACCACAAGAUUGUCACAGUCGCAGAAGGACUGAGUGUUCCUGGCGGCGCAGCAAACCUCCCGCGUCGGAUUCACGAGAGUAACGCCUGUGGAGCCCGCCAGCGUUGUUCGGCUGCCGGUAAACAUCCACUAUGAUAUUAAAAAGCCACGCCACGGCUUCAACCAUGGAUUCGUCGAUGGUGCUGACUGUGGAGGGAGGGAAGAGACUGAGAAGAGAGCGAAGACAUAACGGAGUGGAGACUAAGGAAGGAAAGAAGCGAGUAAAGGGAACAAGGAAAGUGACGAACGAGUACUUGUAAGAGGAGACGAAAGACAGACAGUUGCGUCCCUGCCAAGUCUGCACCAUCCGUAUCAUCCUUAUCUAACACGGAUACACGCAAAGCAGAGAAUCACUUACUGAGUGUGAGCUGCGCCGUUGUCCUCUGCGCCAGGAACAUCAUCAGCAUCACCAAAUUCCACCAAAGACAAUGAAUGAGAAGACAAUUUGCAGAAGUGAUGGAGCCUAAACAGUUUCGUGUUCAGACCGCAGCCGCUGACGCUGUUGUAUGUCCGUCAUCCAGCUGUUGGUCGUGGAAGAGCAUAAAUUGGAGGACCGCCAAGUGCGUCAUUAUACGCCACUGAUCACACAAAUAUUCGUCGCGGCUGUGGAGAAACAAAGACUCAUUGAUCGUGCCCGCACCUGAUGAGCCAAGCCUAGGAACAGUGACAUCAUCAAUCCCAGACUGAGACUGUAGAACCUUAAUAUGUUUGGCCCACCCAUGAAGAAGAAUUACGCAUCCACUCUGCCUGGACCGAAAGUGGCGGGCACUGUCACAAGCCACACUUCCUGGCAGAGAAUCACCUUUGAGGGAGAAAGGCGUGGUCGAGCAGCGCUAAGAGGCCAGAUUUGGUUAUUGGGAACAGUGUGAAUCUCCCUCCGCUAUGGAUCUAUUUAGUCAUCAUGAGUCAAUGGAUCCCGGCCUUCAUGUUAUCUGAUAAAUGAGUGAUCUGUGUA
RNAcentral lists this long non-coding RNA (1004 nucleotides) under Portunus trituberculatus (swimming crab). RNAcentral's name for it is "uncharacterized LOC123518583, transcript variant X1". The record is from RNAcentral. Lineage: Eukaryota; Metazoa; Arthropoda; Malacostraca; Decapoda; Portunidae.